This 68-nucleotide transfer RNA is filed under the name Alkalicoccobacillus porphyridii. RNAcentral's name for it is "Bacillus sp. P16(2019) tRNA-Thr". It matches the Rfam family "tRNA". Rfam says of the family: Transfer RNA (tRNA) molecules are approximately 80 nucleotides in length. Their secondary structure includes four short double-helical elements and three loops (D, anti-codon, and T loops). Further hydrogen bonds mediate the characteristic L-shaped molecular structure. tRNAs have two regions of fundamental functional importance: the anti-codon, which is responsible for specific mRNA codon recognition, and the 3' end, to which the tRNAs corresponding amino acid is attached (by aminoacyl-tRNA synthetases). tRNAs cope with the degeneracy of the genetic code in two manners: having more than one tRNA (with a specific anti-codon) for a particular amino acid; and 'wobble' base-pairing, i.e. permitting non-standard base-pairing at the 3rd anti-codon position. Lineage: Bacteria; Bacillati; Bacillota; Bacilli; Caryophanales; Bacillaceae. The record is from RNAcentral.
GCUUGAAUAGAGGGGUGACCUCCACCAUGGUAAGGUGGGGGUCAGCGGUUCGAAUCCGCUUGGAAGCU